RNAcentral lists this ribosomal RNA (315 nucleotides) under uncultured bacterium. Its description in RNAcentral is "bacterial SSU rRNA". It matches the Rfam family "Bacterial small subunit ribosomal RNA", at positions 28 to 334 of the family's 1533-position model. The record is from RNAcentral.
GAUGAACGCUAGCUACAGGCUUAACACAUGCAAGUCGAGGGGCAGCAUUUUAGUUUGCUUGCAAUGUUUGAUGGCGACCGGCGCACGGGUGCGUAACGCGUAUGUAACCUACCUCAAACAGGGGCAUAACACUGAGAAAUUGGUACUAAUUCCCCAUAACACCUGAAGGGGCAUCCUUUUGGGUUGAAAGUUCCGGCGGUUUGAGAUGGACAUGCGUUGUAUUAGCUAGUUGGUGAGGUAACGGCUCACCAAGGCGACGAUACAUAGGGGGACUGCGAGGUUAACCCCCCACAUUGGGACUGAGACACGGCCCAG